CCUGGACGGCCCGGCGGAGGGCUCACCGCUGCGGGUGGUGGCGGUGGACUACCGCACCGGCCGCCGGGUCGUCUUCGGGGACCAGGGC
Molecule: transfer RNA, 88 nt
Filed under: Kitasatospora indigofera
Lineage: Bacteria; Bacillati; Actinomycetota; Actinomycetes; Kitasatosporales; Streptomycetaceae
Description: tRNA-Arg
Source: RNAcentral